UGAUCCGUCAGACGUACGAAGUACGAGGUCUGCUGUUGUGUGCGGUACAGCUGUGUAAAAGUAAAAAGGGCGGAGUAGGCGGAGGCUAUCAUCGAGAAGACGAGAUACAACGACAGUCGGAGUCAUAGCCUACGUGCUGCUGUUGGCAAGUGGUUUCUCCAAGCUCAGGCGUAUAAAUGUGAGACGGAUAAAAUCCAUUCAGCAGUUCUCAGUGUUGCGGGAGAAGAGACUGAACCUGUCUGUGGAAACAACUUCGUGUCGUAGGAACGGGUUUUUACAGUUACCCACCAUUUUCUUCAGCCAGUUUACAUUAUUUUUUUUCAUACUUGGUAUUUCAAUUAUUAUUCGAAGGAAAACAACGCUGCAUAUAAAUGAGACAAGUGAAGUCUUCGAGUUUUGAAUUCCUCGAGCCAGAUCAAAUUGAUCAAGCUGAUGUAUCAGAUCAUUUGACGGCCGCUCUUAGUCCCUACAACUCUGGCAAAAGCGGACGGGAAGGAUGGACCUGUGCAUGGGCUCCGGACAGCUCCUACUUUGCCUGGUCCAGUGGUUAUCGCAUACUGCACUUGAUUCCAUGGGACGCUAACAAAAAGAAAAGGCAUGAUCCGGCGGACACGGAAGGUUUGAAGGAGCGGAAGUACCACAUGAUAGAUUGUGGAGAGUUGAUAUGGGCUUUAGCGUUUGGAUCUGGACUACCUCAGAAAGCAUCUCACAUCUACAGACAUUGCAGUUAUGAUAAAAACCUUGUUGUUGCCACGGGUCUAGCGAGCGGAAGGAUCAAACUCUUCAACUGCUUCACAGGUUCUGUGAUUGUGGAGCUCCUGGAUCAUCGUGACACAGUUCGUGGACUCGACUUCUCCAAAGAUGGCAGCCUGCAGCUCAUGUCUGGGUCUCGCGAUGGGACCCUCAAGUUGUGGGAUCUCAACAACGAAGGGAAUAUGUAUUGCACUCAUAAAGCAAGGGCAAAAGUGAACGCCUGUAAAUUCUCCAUGAACGGAAAAUUUGCUGCCGCAGUGGGAACGAACAAAACGGUUUUGCUCUGGCACGGACCCAUCAAGGACAGUCCGUUUUACAGGCUCGAAGGACAUCACAAUGAGGUGGUUGGCGUGGACUUCAGCUCUGAUUCUGUGCUCAUGGCUACUGCAUCUUUUGAUACUCGAGUUAUCAUUUGGAACGCAUACAGGGUUCAGAGACUUCGAGAGUUGGGGCAUUUGCAUCCAAGCCCUAGUCUGAUUUUUGCUGGUGGUGCCAAUGACAACUUCGUUCGCAGUGUGAAUUUCUCUCGCGAUGGUGUGAAUGUGGCCACAGUUUGUGAUGAUGGCUUUGUUCGCUUCUGGCACUGGGAGGAGGAUGGAGACCCGGUGUCAGUGCUGCAAGUCUCUGACCCUCUCUGUGGUCAGUUUUCGUCGGACGGAACUGUUCUUGGAGUUGGUGUUAUCACAUGAUUGGAGGGAGGUUGAAAGAGAGAGAGAGAGGGAAGAGCCCACGAUCUGAACUCUCACACAAAGUCUAAACUCUGGGCUCGCUUGGAGUCUGAGAGACCCCUACACUCACAAGUUCCAGGGUUGUUCCGUUCCCCAUUGCCGCUGCACUCGAAAGUUGAAAAGUUUCAGUAGUGCCAGCGAAACGCAACGGCGGAAACCAGUAACUCGCAGCGGAGAUGCCCAGUUUGUGUGCGCCCCACAGCCGCUGCCCAGUCUCCUACAGCUGAGCCGAGUGGCCGUGCGCAAA
RNAcentral lists this unclassified non-coding RNA (1728 nucleotides) under Aplysia californica (California sea hare). Its description in RNAcentral is "wD repeat and SOCS box-containing protein 1, transcript variant X1". The record is from RNAcentral. Lineage: Eukaryota; Metazoa; Mollusca; Gastropoda; Aplysiida; Aplysiidae.